RNAcentral lists this ribosomal RNA (523 nucleotides) under uncultured Syntrophaceticus sp. RNAcentral describes it as "bacterial SSU rRNA". It matches the Rfam family "Bacterial small subunit ribosomal RNA", at positions 521 to 1042 of the family's 1533-position model. The record is from RNAcentral. Lineage: Bacteria; Bacillati; Bacillota; Clostridia; Thermoanaerobacterales; Thermoanaerobacterales Family III. Incertae Sedis.
UAAGACAGAGGUGGCGAGCGUUGUCCGGAUUUACUGGGCGUAAAGGGUGUGUAGGCGGUCGCGUAAGUCAGUUGUGAAAUCCGUCGGCUCAACCGAAGAAGAGCAACUGAUACUGCGUGGCUGGAGUGCGGAAGAGGAAAGUGGAAUUCCCCGGUGUAGCAGUGAAAUGCGUAGAUAUCGGGAAGAACACCAAUGGCGAAGGCGACUUUCUGGUCCGCUACUGACGCUGAGGCACGAAAGCCAGGGGAGCGAACGGGAUUAGAUACCCCGGUAGUCCUGGCUGUAAACUAUGGACACUAGGUGUGGGGGAGUUUUCUCCUCCGUGCCGCAGGAAACCCGUUAAGUGUCCCGCCUGGGAACUACGGCCGCAAGGCUAAAACUCAAAGAAAUUGACGGGGGCCCGCACAAGCGGUGGAGCAUGUGGCUCAAUUCGACGCAACGCGAGGAACCUUACUAGGGCUUGACAUGACUUGGAAAGCAUCCGAAAGGAUGCCCUCCCGCGAGGGACCGAGUCACAGGUGCU